GGAGAUGUAGCAUAAUGGCAAUGCGAUAGCUUGUCGAGUUAUAGACUGUGGGUUCAACCCCCAUCAUUUCCG
RNAcentral lists this transfer RNA (72 nucleotides) under Pseudomonadota bacterium. Its description in RNAcentral is "Proteobacteria bacterium (activated sludge metagenome) tRNA-Asp". It matches the Rfam family "tRNA". Rfam says of the family: Transfer RNA (tRNA) molecules are approximately 80 nucleotides in length. Their secondary structure includes four short double-helical elements and three loops (D, anti-codon, and T loops). Further hydrogen bonds mediate the characteristic L-shaped molecular structure. tRNAs have two regions of fundamental functional importance: the anti-codon, which is responsible for specific mRNA codon recognition, and the 3' end, to which the tRNAs corresponding amino acid is attached (by aminoacyl-tRNA synthetases). tRNAs cope with the degeneracy of the genetic code in two manners: having more than one tRNA (with a specific anti-codon) for a particular amino acid; and 'wobble' base-pairing, i.e. permitting non-standard base-pairing at the 3rd anti-codon position. The record is from RNAcentral. Lineage: Bacteria; Pseudomonadati; Pseudomonadota.